CUCAACUAUUAGGCUUCGGGGGAUACUGCCAGACUUGGAACCGGGAGAGGUAAGAGGUACUACAGGGGUAGGAGUGAAAUCUUGUAAUCCCUGUGGGACCACCUGUGGCGAAGGCGUCUUACCGAGAACGGGUUCGACGGUGAGGGACGAAAGCUGGGGGCACGAACCGGAUUAGAUACCCGGGUAGUCCCAGCCGUAAACGAUGCUCGCUAGGUGUCAGGCAUGGUGCGACCGUGUCUGGUGCCGCAGGGAAGCCGUGAAGCGAGCCACCUGGGAAGUACGGCCGCAAGGCUGAAACUUAAAGGAAUUGGCGGGGGAGCACAACAACGGGUGGAGCCCUGCGGUUUAAUUGGACUCAACGCCGGACAACUCACCGGGGGCGACAGCAAUAUGUAGGCCAAGCUGAAGACUUUGCCUGAAUCGCUGAGAAGUGGUGCAUGG
Molecule: ribosomal RNA, 441 nt
Filed under: uncultured archaeon
Lineage: Archaea
Description: bacterial SSU rRNA
Rfam family: Archaeal small subunit ribosomal RNA
Source: RNAcentral